CAAUAGCGUAUAUUAAAGUUGUUGCAGUUAGAACGCUCGUAGUCGGAUUUCGGGGCGGGCCGACCGGUCUGCCGAUGGGUACGCACUGGUCGGCGCGUCCUUCCUUCCGGAGACCGUGCCUACUCUUAACUGAGCGGGGGCGGGAGACGGAUCGUUUACUUUGAAAAAAUCAGAGUGUUUCAAGCAGGCAGCUCGCUCUUGCAUGGAUUAGCAUGGGAUAAUGAAAUAGGACUUUGGUGCUAUUUUGUUGGUUUCGAACACCGAAGUAAUGAUUAAAAGGGACAGUCAGGGGCACUCGUAUUCCGCCGAGAGAGGUGAAAUUCUCAGACCAGCGGAAGACGAACCACUGCGAAAGCAUUUGCCGGGGAUGUUUUCACUGA
RNAcentral lists this ribosomal RNA (380 nucleotides) under uncultured eukaryote. RNAcentral describes it as "partial 18S ribosomal RNA". It matches the Rfam family "Eukaryotic small subunit ribosomal RNA", at positions 592 to 976 of the family's 1831-position model. The record is from RNAcentral.